GGCUGCGUUAGGGUGGGGGUGGGGGGUCUCGCGAUGAUCUCUCUGUCCUGUCCCUGCCUGCUCUCCCGCCCCAUGGUCUCCCGCCAUGGGAUGAAGUGGCAGCAGCCGCUGGACCUCCAGAGGGGCGACCCAGCUCCCAAGUAAACCAGGGUCACCUGGCAAGAGCGUGUGCCGUGACACUGAGGCCGCCGGGCAGCUGAGCCAGCCCUGACAGCCUGGGCACUCGGCGCACAACAGGAUAAUGCCACCUUGCGUUCAUGCAGUCUUUCCGUCUUUAGCUACCUACUUCCGUGGCUGCGCCAAAUUUCCGCUAACUGCCCUGUGCAUGUGUCCCCAGCCAGCGCGAAACAGUGGCUUCAACAGCAGGCGCUUACUACUGCCCUUGUGGCCCUGGACCGUUACAUGGCACCUCUGGCCUCCACAAGCCUCACCUACCAGCACACCUCACGGGCUCAUCUGUAUGGGGUGUGGCUCGGCUCCACGUGGUCUCCCAUCCACCGGCCAGCCAGCCGGGGCUGUUCCCAUGGCAACAGCCCAGCUCCAAGCCAGCAGGUGGAAGCCACAAGGCCUCUUGAGUCUUAGACUCCAAACAGGUGUCAAGUUGCAUAGGCGACUUUCUAUUGGCUACAGCAGGCCAUGUGACUGAUCCCUGAUUGGUGGGGUGGGACCUAGACUCUCUCCAAGGCAGGAACCAGAGAGCCACGUUGAAGAGACCAGGACGGGUGGAAAAUGAAGAACCAAUUUUGCCAUCCAUCUCUGAUUUUUUUUAACUCUUUUUCAUUCAAUUUAAAACUUGUUUUUAAACCAACUGUACAACCUUAAAUUACAUUUUAAUGUGCAUUAAACCGAGAUGAUCCAAUUUUCCUAUCGUCGGUUGC
This is a non-coding RNA of Oryctolagus cuniculus (rabbit), 878 nucleotides long. The record is from RefSeq and is a predicted model, not a curated record. Lineage: Eukaryota; Metazoa; Chordata; Mammalia; Lagomorpha; Leporidae.